This 65-nucleotide transfer RNA is filed under the name Marmota monax (woodchuck). RNAcentral describes it as "tRNA.Ala". Lineage: Eukaryota; Metazoa; Chordata; Mammalia; Rodentia; Sciuridae. The record is from RNAcentral.
GGGUUGUGGCUCAGUGGUAGAGCGCUUGCCUUGCCUGCAUGAAGUGGGUUCAAUCCCUGGCACCA